GUGGGGAAUAUUGGACAAUGGGCGCAAGCCUGAUCCAGCCAUGCCGCGUGAGUGAUGAAGGCCUUAGGGUUGUAAAGCUCUUUCAGUGGGGACGAUAAUGACGGUACCCACAGAAGAAGCCCCGGCUAACUUCGUGCCAGCAGCCGCGGUAAUACGAAGGGGGCUAGCGUUGUUCGGAUUUACUGGGCGUAAAGCGCACGUAGGCGGAUCGUUAAGUCGGGGGUGAAAUUCUGGAGCUCAACUCCAGAACUGCCUUCGAUACUGGCGGUCUUGAAUCCGGAAGAGGUGAGUGGAACUCCGAGUGUAGAGGUGGAAUUCGUAGAUAUUAGGAAGAACACCAGUGGCGGAGGCGGCUCACUGGUCCGGUACUGACGCUGAGGUGCGAAAGCGUGGGGAGCAAACAGGAUUAGAAACCCCUGUAGUCC
Molecule: ribosomal RNA, 425 nt
Filed under: uncultured bacterium
Lineage: Bacteria
Description: partial 16S ribosomal RNA
Rfam family: Bacterial small subunit ribosomal RNA
Source: RNAcentral